Molecule: ribosomal RNA, 468 nt
Filed under: uncultured bacterium
Lineage: Bacteria
Description: partial 16S ribosomal RNA
Rfam family: Bacterial small subunit ribosomal RNA
Source: RNAcentral
GACGAACGCUGGCGGCGUGCUUAACACAUGCAAGUCGAACGGAAAGGCCCUGCUUUUGUGGGGUGCUCGAGUGGCGAACGGGUGAGUAACACGUGAGUAACCUGCCCUUGACUUUGGGAUAACUUCAGGAAACUGGGGCUAAUACCGGAUAGGAGCUCCUGCUGCAUGGUGGGGGUUGGAAAGUUUCGGCGGUUGGGGAUGGACUCGCGGCUUAUCAGCUUGUUGGUGGGGUAGGGGCUUACCAAGCCUUUGACGGGUAGCCGGCCUGAGAGGGUGACCGGCCCCCUUGGGCCUGCGAUACGGCCCAGACUCCUACGGUAGGCAGCAGUGGGGAAUAUUGCACAAUGGGCGGAAGCCUGAUGCGGCAACGCCGCGUGCGGGAUGACGGCCUUCGGGUUGUAAACCGCUUUCGCCUGUGACGAAGCGUGAGUGACGGUAAUGGGUAAAGAAGCACCGGCUAACUACGUG